GGUCCUACGGGGGGCAGCAGUGGGGAAUAUUGGGCAAUGGGCGCAAGCCUGACCCAGCAACGCCGCGUGAAGGAAGAAGGCUUUCGGGUUGUAAACUUCUUUUCUCAGGGACGAAGCAAGUGACGGUACCUGAGGAAUAAGCCACGGCUAACUACGUGCCAGCAGCCGCGGUAAUACGUAGGUGGCAAGCGUUAUCCGGAUUUAUUGGGUGUAAAGGGUGCGUAGACGGGCUAACAAGUUAGUUGUGAAAUCCCUCGGCUCAACUGAGGAACUGCAACUAAAACUAUUAGUCUUGAGUGCGGGAG
This 305-nucleotide ribosomal RNA is filed under the name uncultured bacterium. RNAcentral describes it as "bacterial SSU rRNA". It matches the Rfam family "Bacterial small subunit ribosomal RNA", at positions 335 to 654 of the family's 1533-position model. The record is from RNAcentral.